CAAAAAGUAGUUUAAAGAAAACGAAGGCUUUGGGAGCCUUAAAUUUACUUGUUGUUAACUUUUUGA
This 66-nucleotide transfer RNA is filed under the name Venustaconcha ellipsiformis. Its description in RNAcentral is "tRNA-Pro". The record is from RNAcentral. Lineage: Eukaryota; Metazoa; Mollusca; Bivalvia; Unionida; Unionidae.